Molecule: ribosomal RNA, 394 nt
Filed under: uncultured bacterium
Lineage: Bacteria
Description: bacterial SSU rRNA
Rfam family: Bacterial small subunit ribosomal RNA
Source: RNAcentral
GACGAACGCUGGCGGCGUGCUUAACACAUGCAAGUGGAGCGACGAACCGGGGCUUGCCCCGGGGCAGAGCCGCGAACGGGUGAGUAACACGUGGGUUACCUGCCCCGAUGACCGGGACAACCCGAGGAAACUCGGGCUAAUACCGGAUGUGGUCUUCGGACGAAAGGAAGCUUUUAUUAGCCUCCGCAUUGGGAUGGGCCCGCGGCGCAUUAGCUUGUUGGUUGGGUAACGGCCUACCAAGGCGACGAUGCGAGCUGGUCUGAGAGGACGAUCAGCCACACUGGGACUGAGACACGGCCCAGACUCCUACGGGAGGCAGCAGUGGGGAAUCUUGCACAAUGCGCGAAAGCGUGAUGCAGCAACGCCGCGUGAGGGAAGACGGCCUCGGUGUAAC